RNAcentral lists this long non-coding RNA (430 nucleotides) under Medicago truncatula (barrel medic). Its description in RNAcentral is "long non-coding RNA (MTRU_LNC001684)". The record is from RNAcentral. Lineage: Eukaryota; Viridiplantae; Streptophyta; Magnoliopsida; Fabales; Fabaceae.
CAAACGCCGUUUUCAGAUUUUCUAUCUUGUUUGGCUGAAUGAAAAGUAAUUCCAGGAAACGUGGUUUUGAUCUCAAAACGCCAUUACAACUGAAGCUGAUAUUCAUAGCUUCUGCUUUUGUGAAACUCAGUUUUGAUUUCAAUGACAUGUAUAGUUACCAAUAUACCCCCAUGUUUUCUUCUCCAAUUUCCUACUAGUAAACAUCUUUCUUCUUCUUCCUUAAAAAAAACAUCUUUCUUCUUCUCUAUUUUUGCAGAUCUGAAGAGGGAAAAUAAAUAAAUAAUAAUUUAACUUAAAACAAGAAAAGGAACUGAAAGAUUACAGAUCUGUUCUUAAUUGGUGAGUGAUAGAAAAAUGAUAUGAGAGAAAAAUAGUGAAAUGGGAAGGAGAAAGGUUAGAGUCAUGGAUCUGGAGGUGGAGAAGGAAAAAU